This 275-nucleotide ribosomal RNA is filed under the name uncultured soil bacterium. RNAcentral describes it as "partial 16S ribosomal RNA". It matches the Rfam family "Bacterial small subunit ribosomal RNA", at positions 26 to 284 of the family's 1533-position model. The record is from RNAcentral.
AGAAUCAACGCUGGCGGCGUGCCUCAGACAUGCAAGUCGAACGCGAAAGUUCCCUUCGGGGGGCAAGUAGAGUGGCGCACGGGUGAGUAACACGUAGGUAAUCUACCUUUGGAUGGGGAAUAACAAUCGGAAACGGUUGCUAAUACCGCAUAAUGCAGCGGCACCUAAUGGUGACAGUUGUUAAAGCGGGGGAUCGAAAGACCUCGCGUCUGAAGAGGAGCCUGCGGCGGAUUAGCUAGUUGGUAGGGUAACGGCCUACCAAGGCUACGAUCCGU